RNAcentral lists this ribosomal RNA (519 nucleotides) under uncultured bacterium. RNAcentral describes it as "bacterial SSU rRNA". It matches the Rfam family "Bacterial small subunit ribosomal RNA", at positions 523 to 1033 of the family's 1533-position model. The record is from RNAcentral.
AUACGAGGGGUGCUAGCGUUAUUCGGAAUUACUGGGCGUAAAGGGUGUGUAGACGGUUUAUUAAGUCUGUUGUUAAAUUUCUCGGCCUAACCGAGAGCUCGCAAUGGAUACUGGUAGACUUGAGGAUGGAAGAGAGAAGUGGAAUUCUCGGAGUAGCGGUAAAAUGCGUAGAUCUCGAGAGGAACACCGAUGGCGAAGGCAGCUUCUUGGUCCAUUCCUGACGUUGAGACACGAAAGCGUGGGUAGCAAACAGGAUUAGAUACCCUGGUAGUCCACGCCGUAAACGAUGAUCACUAGACGUCGGUUUUGCUUUGCAGAAUCGGUGUCGUAGCUAACGCGUUAAGUGAUCCGCCUGGGGACUACGGUCGCAAGACUAAAACUCAAAGGAAUUGACGGGGCCCGCACAAGCGGUGGAGCAUGUGGUUUAAUUCGAUGAUACGCGAGGAACCUUACCUGGGUUUGACAUGCUUCUGACCGAUGUGGAAACACAUUUUUUCUAUCUUUGAUAAGGACAGUUGC